RNAcentral lists this unclassified non-coding RNA (224 nucleotides) under soil metagenome. RNAcentral describes it as "partial contains small subunit ribosomal RNA, internal transcribed spacer 1, and 5.8S ribosomal RNA". The record is from RNAcentral.
UCUCCGUAGGUGAACCUGCGGAGGGAUCAUUACCGAGUGAGGGCGCCCGCCGCCCGACCUCCCAACCCUUUGAUCGGAUCACGACCGCCUCCUGCCUCGUGGCGGACCCGGCCCUCGCGCGCCGCGGUCCCCCCGGCGGUACACCACACAACUCUGCAUCAAUUGUCGUCGGAGUAAAAAGUUUAAUACAAUCAAAACUUUCAACAACGGAUCUCUUGGUUCUG